Molecule: small RNA, 20 nt
Filed under: Arabidopsis thaliana (thale cress)
Lineage: Eukaryota; Viridiplantae; Streptophyta; Magnoliopsida; Brassicales; Brassicaceae
Description: ATSL069790
Source: RNAcentral
UUUUUUUCUUCUUCUUCCCU